GGCUGUGGCUUAGUGGUAGAACACCUGCCUAGCAUGUGUGAGGCACUGGGUUUGAUUCUCAGCAGCACA
RNAcentral lists this transfer RNA (69 nucleotides) under Marmota monax (woodchuck). Its description in RNAcentral is "tRNA.Ala". Lineage: Eukaryota; Metazoa; Chordata; Mammalia; Rodentia; Sciuridae. The record is from RNAcentral.